RNAcentral lists this ribosomal RNA (663 nucleotides) under Lacticaseibacillus casei. Its description in RNAcentral is "bacterial SSU rRNA". It matches the Rfam family "Bacterial small subunit ribosomal RNA", at positions 61 to 690 of the family's 1533-position model. The record is from RNAcentral. Lineage: Bacteria; Bacillati; Bacillota; Bacilli; Lactobacillales; Lactobacillaceae.
GUCGACGAGUUCUCGUUGAUGAUCGGUGCUUGCACCGAGAUUCAACAUGGAACGAGUGGCGGACGGGUGAGUAACACGUGGGUAACCUGCCCUUAAGUGGGGGAUAACAUUUGGAAACAGAUGCUAAUACCGCAUAGAUCCAAGAACCGCAUGGUUCUUGGCUGAAAGAUGGCGUAAGCUAUCGCUUUUGGAUGGACCCGCGGCGUAUUAGCUAGUUGGUGAGGUAACGGCUCACCAAGGCGAUGAUACGUAGCCGAACUGAGAGGUUGAUCGGCCACAUUGGGACUGAGACACGGCCCAAACUCCUACGGGAGGCAGCAGUAGGGAAUCUUCCACAAUGGACGCAAGUCUGAUGGAGCAACGCCGCGUGAGUGAAGAAGGCUUUCGGGUCGUAAAACUCUGUUGUUGGAGAAGAAUGGUCGGCAGAGUAACUGUUGUCGGCGUGACGGUAUCCAACCAGAAAGCCACGGCUAACUACGUGCCAGCAGCCGCGGUAAUACGUAAGUGGCAAGCGUUAUCCGGAAUUAUUGGGCGUAAAGCGAGCGCAGGCGGUUUUUUAAGUCUGAGUGGAAGCCCUCGGCUUAACCGAAGAAAGCCCAUCGGAAACUGGGAAACUUGAUUGCAAAAAAGGACGUGGAACUCCCGGUGUAGGGGUGAAAUGGU